UACGGAGGAUGCGAGCGUUAUCCGGAAUGAUUGGGCGUAAAGGGUGCGCAGGCGGUCCUGCAAGUCUGGAGUGAAACGUAUGAGCUCAACUCAUGCAUGGCUCUGGAAACUGGAGGACUGGAGAGCAGGAGAGGGCGGUGGAACUCCAUGUGUAGCGGUAAAAUGCGUAGAUAUAUGGAAGAACACCAGUGGCGAAGGCGGCCGCCUGGCCUGUUGCUGACGCUGAGGCUCGAAAGCAUGGGUAGCGAACAGG
This 253-nucleotide ribosomal RNA is filed under the name uncultured Allobaculum sp. Its description in RNAcentral is "partial 16S ribosomal RNA". It matches the Rfam family "Bacterial small subunit ribosomal RNA", at positions 524 to 776 of the family's 1533-position model. Lineage: Bacteria; Bacillati; Bacillota; Erysipelotrichia; Erysipelotrichales; Erysipelotrichaceae. The record is from RNAcentral.